Peromyscus maniculatus bairdii (prairie deer mouse) is the source of this 1217-nucleotide non-coding RNA. Lineage: Eukaryota; Metazoa; Chordata; Mammalia; Rodentia; Cricetidae. The record is from RefSeq and is a predicted model, not a curated record.
GUCCCCAGGCGCCUCCCCUUGCCCCGCCUCGUAGGCAUGACAGUUGCCAGAGUCUCAAUGGGGGUUGGAACUUCCAGAUCCAAGCUGGAAUGGCUACCCACUACAACACAGCCUUUGGCGUGGUAGCCACCAAAGAUGUUACCCACGAUGAACCAAAGUGCUGGAGCUUUGCAUGAGUGUGGACUUACCGGUACGAGAGUCUUGAGUGUGCAUGCCUAGCUGAGCCUCUUGUCUGUGAGGUGGGAUCCACCUGAGCUUCCACAAACUAUUUUCAAAUCCAGUGGCCAUCUUGUGUCCUGUGGAUGGGAGUUCCAAUGAAAACCUCACAGAUGAGGUUUGUCUCCAACUGCUCAACCGGGGAGUGAGUGGAUCCCAACUAAGCAAACACAGUCUGGGUGGAGGAGAAAUGCUAAGGAGAAACAGUCUGCAAUGGAAAUCUACCAAAUCACCCUUCAGUUGAGCCCUGAAAGGAUGAAGAAGGUGGUACUGGAAGAACUGUUGGGGAUUUCUGUUGAAUGGGUAGUCUGUGAUGUUGCAACUCAGAUUCUGUGGGUUAUAAAUAUCCUUUACUAGGUUCAAGAAUUCUUUAAACCAAUGUGUGCUGAGCUCUACUGUAUAUCUGGCAAUGGAUAAAUGUUCUUUCUCUGAGAAAGGCCAGACUCCUGGUCUAUGGUUCUUAAUACUGGAGAGCAGAUGAGGAUAGAGUCUGUGAAUGAGUGUACUUCUCAAAUUUGCUCCAUUUUCCACUGGCCCAGGUCAAAACCAGAAUCAGAUUUACCUCUCUCUCUCCUUUCCCUAUUCUCUGUCUCCAAACCUUCAGAAGUUUGGUUGACUCUGCUCUCCAAUGUAUCCAGAAUCCCGCUGAGCAUCAACAUUCAUCUCCGCUUCCUGGCUGUACUUGCCAAGCAACCAGCUGUCCCACACUCCUGCCACUGUGACUUGCCCACCAUGAUGUUCAGUACUCCCCAAGUGUGAGGCAAAAAACAAACAAACGAACAAACCCCUUUCUUCCAGAAGUUGCCCAGUCUGUCAGGGCAACUAAUCCAGCAAAUUUCUUGGAAAUAAGUAGACUAAAGCAUAUGCAAAUCCUCCUUGUGAAGAGCAGGAGAGAGAAAGAAAGGAGGGGGAAGAACGGAGAGGAGAAAAAUACAGAGGGCAUAAAAAACUACAGAUAACUUUACUCUUAAUAAUAGCAACAAUAAAAAAUACCAGAGAGU